This 497-nucleotide ribosomal RNA is filed under the name uncultured bacterium. Its description in RNAcentral is "partial 16S ribosomal RNA". It matches the Rfam family "Bacterial small subunit ribosomal RNA", at positions 28 to 507 of the family's 1533-position model. The record is from RNAcentral.
GAUGAACGCUGGCGGCGUGCCUAAUACAUGCAAGUCGAGCGAACGGACGAGAAGCUUGCUUCUCUGAUGUUAGCGGCGGACGGGUGAGUAACACGUGGAUAACCUACCUAUAAGACUGGGAUAACUUCGGGAAACCGGAGCUAAUACCGGAUGAUAUUUUGAACCGCAUGGUUCAAAAGUGAAAGACGGUCUUGCUGUCACUUAUAGAUGGAUCCGCGCUGCAUUAGCUAGUUGGUAAGGUAACGGCUUACCAAGGCAACGAUGCAUAGCCGACCUGAUAGAGGGAUAGGCGACACUGGAGCUGAGACGCGGUCCAGAGUCCUACGGGACGCAGCAGUAUGCAAUCGUCCGCAGUGGUCGGAAGCCUGACGGAGCAACGCCGCGUGAGAGAUGAAGGUGUUCGGAUCGUAAAACUCUGUUAUUAGUGAAGAACAUAUUUGGAAGUAACUGUGCACAGCUUGACGGUACCGAAUCAGAAAGCCACGGCUAACUACGUG